RNAcentral lists this ribosomal RNA (492 nucleotides) under uncultured bacterium. RNAcentral's name for it is "partial 16S ribosomal RNA". It matches the Rfam family "Bacterial small subunit ribosomal RNA", at positions 29 to 507 of the family's 1533-position model. The record is from RNAcentral.
AGUGAACGCUGGCGGUAGGCCUAACACAUGCAAGUCGAACGGCAGCACAGUAAGAGCUUGCUCUUACGGGUGGCGAGUGGCGGACGGGUGAGGAAUACAUCGGAAUCUACUUUUUCGUGGGGGAUAACGUAGGGAAACUUACGCUAAUACCGCAUACGACCUACGGGUGAAAGCAGGGGAUCUUCGGACCUUGCGCGAUUGAAUGAGCCGAUGUCGGAUUAGCUAGUUGGCGGGGUAAAGGCCCACCAAGGCGACGAUCCGUAGCUGGUCUGAGAGGAUGAUCACCCACACCGGAACUGAGACACGGUCCAGACUCCUACGGGAGGCAGCAGUGGGGACUAUUGGACAAUGGGCGCAAGCCUGAUCCAGCUAUACCGCGUGGGUGAAGAAGGCCUUCGGGUUGUAAAGCCCUUUUGUUGGGAAAGAAAAGCAGCAGGUUAAUACCCCGCUGUUCUGACGGUACCCAAAGAAUAAGCACCGGCUAACUUCGUG